Long non-coding RNA from Lolium rigidum, 172 nucleotides. RefSeq lists it as uncharacterized. Lineage: Eukaryota; Viridiplantae; Streptophyta; Magnoliopsida; Poales; Poaceae. The record is from RefSeq and is a predicted model, not a curated record. The transcript is spliced from 3 exons.
UCAACAUGUAGAGUGGUUACUGGGCACAAUGUAGCGGUUCCAUUAUGCUGCUCAUGCCUCGCCUCCUCACUGUGAGAUAUGGUGAAACAUGAGAGGUGGCAAUAUCUAAAGGAAUGGCUGCACUCACCACAAUUAGAUCAUCGGUGGUACUGCCAAAGAUGAUUCAGGUGAU